Small nuclear RNA from Vombatus ursinus (common wombat), 108 nucleotides. The record is from Ensembl. NCBI's taxonomy places the organism in Eukaryota, Metazoa, Chordata, Mammalia, Diprotodontia, Vombatidae.
GUGCUCGCUUUGGCAGCAUAUUAGAACUAAAUUAGAAUGAUACAGACAAGAUUAGCGUGGCCCCUGCACAAGGAUGACACACAGAUUUGUGAAACAUUUCAUAUUUUU